This 182-nucleotide ribosomal RNA is filed under the name Citrobacter koseri. Its description in RNAcentral is "partial 16S ribosomal RNA". It matches the Rfam family "Bacterial small subunit ribosomal RNA", at positions 1 to 176 of the family's 1533-position model. The record is from RNAcentral. Lineage: Bacteria; Pseudomonadati; Pseudomonadota; Gammaproteobacteria; Enterobacterales; Enterobacteriaceae. RNAcentral also lists the same sequence under 39 other names.
AAAUUGAAGAGUUUGAUCAUGGCUCAGAUUGAACGCUGGCGGCAGGCCUAACACAUGCAAGUCGAACGGUAACAGGAAGCAGCUUGCUGCUUCGCUGACGAGUGGCGGACGGGUGAGUAAUGUCUGGGAAACUGCCUGAUGGAGGGGGAUAACUACUGGAAACGGUAGCUAAUACCGCAUAA